AACGAACGCUGGCGGCGCGCCUAAUACAUGCAAGUCGAGCGAGAAGGUGUAGCAAUACACUUGUAAAGCGGCGAACGGGUGAGGAAUGCAUGGGUAACCUACCCUCGAGUGGGGAAUAACUAGCCGAAAGGUUAGCUAAUACCGCAUACGUUUCCGGAACUUCGGUUUCGGAAAGAAAGCAAUACCGUGGGUAUUGCGCUCCUGGAUGGGCUCAUGUCCUAUCAGCUUGUUGGUGAGGUAACGGCUCACCAAGGCUUCGACGGGUAGCUGGUCUGAGAGGACGAUCAGCCACACUGGCACUGCGACACGGGCCAGACUCCUACGGGAGGCAGCAGUAAGGAAUAUUGCGCAAUGGACGAAAGUCUGACGCAGCGACGCCGCGUGGGGGAUGAAGGACUUCGGUUUGUAAAGCUCUGUUGUCAGGGAAUAAAAAAAUGAAUGUACCUGACGAGAAAGGACCGGCUAACUUCGUGCCAGCAGCCGCGGUAAU
Molecule: ribosomal RNA, 490 nt
Filed under: uncultured bacterium
Lineage: Bacteria
Description: bacterial SSU rRNA
Rfam family: Bacterial small subunit ribosomal RNA
Source: RNAcentral